GAUGAACGCUGGCGGCGUGCCUAACACAUGCAAGUCGAACGAAGCCUUCGGGCUUAGUGGCGGACGGGUGAGUAACACGUUGGUACCUGCCUCGAAGUGGGGAAUAACUGGCCGAAAGGUCGGCUAAUACCGCAUGUGAUCGCAAGAUCAAAGUCGUAAGACGCUUCGAGAGGGGCCUGCGUCCCAUUAGCUAGUUGGUAGGGUAAUGGCCUACCAAGGCGACGAUGGGUAGCUGGAUCGAGAGGUUGACCAGCCACACUGGGACUGAGAUACGGCCCAGACUCCUACGGGAGGCAGCAGUAAGGAAUCUUCCACAAUGGACGAAAGUCUGAUGGAGCAACGCCGCGUGCAGGAUGACGGCCUUCGGGUUGUAAACUGCUUUUAUAUGGGAAGUUUAUGACGGUACCAUAUGAAUAAGGACCGGCUAACUACGUGCCAGCAGCCGCAGUAA
This 451-nucleotide ribosomal RNA is filed under the name uncultured bacterium. RNAcentral describes it as "partial 16S ribosomal RNA". It matches the Rfam family "Bacterial small subunit ribosomal RNA", at positions 28 to 523 of the family's 1533-position model. The record is from RNAcentral.